Molecule: ribosomal RNA, 253 nt
Filed under: uncultured bacterium
Lineage: Bacteria
Description: partial 16S ribosomal RNA
Rfam family: Bacterial small subunit ribosomal RNA
Source: RNAcentral
UACGGGGGGGGCAAGCGUUGUUCGGAAUUACUGGGCGUAAAGGGUCUGUAGGUGGCCAACUAAGUCAGACGUGAAAUCCCUCAGCUUAACUGGGGAACUGCGUCUGAUACUGGUUGGCUUGAGUGCAGGAGAGGAAUGCGGAAUUCCAGGUGCAGCGGUGAAAUGCGUAGAUAUCUGGAGGAACACCGGUGGCGAAGGCGGCAUUCUGGACUGCAACUGACACUGAAAGACGAAAGCCAGGGGAGCAAACGGG